Molecule: long non-coding RNA, 413 nt
Filed under: Nicotiana benthamiana
Lineage: Eukaryota; Viridiplantae; Streptophyta; Magnoliopsida; Solanales; Solanaceae
Description: long non-coding RNA (NBEN_LNC004628)
Source: RNAcentral
GUUUUUGUUAGCUUCUUUUCAAUGUUUGAAAAAUUAUUCUGCCCAUCUUCAUAAGACCUUUUUAUUUGGUCAAUUUGGUUUCUGCUCGUUGUUGUGUAUAUAUUAGGCUAUGUAAUAGAUUCGAAUAAAGUCGUCGAUUAAUUGAAUUAUCUUAUAACUCCAUGUUUUGUCAAUGCCACUCGAAAUUGCAUGUUCUAAUUAUUUGUUAUGUGUUAUAAUUUAUGCAAUCGACUAGUUAAGUAUAAUCAAUAAUCUGUUUGAAAAUUAGAAAAAAAUGGCAAUAGUCUGUUUUGUUUAAGUUCAAUAGUUUCUUUAUCCUAUUUCUUUCUGUUCCAGUGUUUUAAUUAGGGUGAACCUGUUGUUACCUAAAUUGAGAACUGAAUUGAUUGGUUUCAAUUCAUUUUUUGUUUCAG